AAAGUCGUAACAAGGUCUCCGUUGGUGAACCAGCGGAGGGAUCAUUACCGAGUUUUCUACUCCCAAACCCCUGUGAACUUAUACCUUUACCGUUGCUUCGGCGGGUUUAACGCCCCGGAAGGCCCAGCCCCCGAGAGGGGGGGAAAGCCGCCGGAACCAGGCGCCCGCCGGGGGACCCAAACUCUUGUAUUUUCUUACUUUGCAUGUCUGAGUGGAAUCAUAAACAAAUGAAUCAAAACUUUCAACAACGGAUCUCUUGGUUCUG
RNAcentral lists this unclassified non-coding RNA (265 nucleotides) under Ascomycota sp. RNAcentral describes it as "partial contains small subunit ribosomal RNA, internal transcribed spacer 1, and 5.8S ribosomal RNA". The stretch from base 1 to 47 matches the Rfam family "Eukaryotic small subunit ribosomal RNA", at positions 1785 to 1831 of the family's 1831-position model. Lineage: Eukaryota; Fungi; Ascomycota. The record is from RNAcentral.